This 445-nucleotide ribosomal RNA is filed under the name uncultured bacterium. Its description in RNAcentral is "partial 16S ribosomal RNA". It matches the Rfam family "Bacterial small subunit ribosomal RNA", at positions 330 to 792 of the family's 1533-position model. The record is from RNAcentral.
UCCAGACUCCUACGGGAGGCAGCAGUGGGGAAUAUUGCACAAUGGGGGAAACCCUGAUGCAGCGACGCCGCGUGAAGGAAGAAGUAUUUCGGUAUGUAAACUUCUAUCAGCAGGGAAGAAAAUGACGGUACCUGACUAAGAAGCCCCGGCUAACUACGUGCCAGCAGCCGCGGUAAUACGUAGGGGGCAAGCGUUAUCCGGAUUUACUGGGUGUAAAGGGGGCGCAGACGGCGAUGCAAGCCAGGAGUGAAAGCCCGGGGCCCAACCCCGGGACUGCUCUUGGAACUGCGUGGCUGGAGUGCAGGAGGGGCAGGCGGAAUUCCUAGUGUAGCGGUGAAAUGCGUAGAUAUUAGGAGGAACACCAGUGGCGAAGGCGGCCUGCUGGACGAUGACUGACGCUGAGGCUCGACAGCGUGGGGAGCAAACAGGAUUAGAUACCCGAGUA